Molecule: unclassified non-coding RNA, 300 nt
Filed under: Hevea brasiliensis (rubber tree)
Lineage: Eukaryota; Viridiplantae; Streptophyta; Magnoliopsida; Malpighiales; Euphorbiaceae
Source: RNAcentral
UGGCUGUUUCUUCUGCUUUCUUAGUUGGGCGUUAGCUUUGCUUCACUUAACCUGAUUGUUCACCAGCAUUAUCAUUCUUUUUCUUGCUUGAUGCAUAUCUUUAUCUUCUUGACCUGUCGUCCACAGGGACAUUAUCAUUAUGAUGAGGAUGUUUUUAGAUAUGCAUGCAGACUGAGCAAGUUAAAUCUGAAUUAUGUUCUUCACCAUCAUUCAGUCAGGAAAUUUUGGGUGGAGGCAUAUAGCCUUCCUGCAGUAAAGACUAAAGACUUUAGAUCACCUACAAUCCCUUCACAAUCCUCA